AUACGUAGGGGACGAGCGUUGUCCGGAAUUACUGGGCGUAAAGGGCGCGCAGGCGGAUAUUUAAGUCAGCUGUAAAAGGCAUGAGCUCAACUCAUGUAUGCGGUUGAAACUGGGUAUCUAGAGUGCUGGAGAGAUAGGCGGAAUUCCCGUUGUAGCGGUGAAAUGCGUAGAUAUCGGGAAGAACACCAGUGGCGAAGGCGGCUUACUGGCCAGCAACUGACGCUGAGGCGCGAAAGCCAGGGGAGCGAACGGGAUUAGAUACCCCGGUAGUCCUGGCCGUAAACGAUGAAUGCUAGCUGUGGGUGUCGAGAGGCAUCCGUGCCGGAGUUAACGCGAUAAGCAUUCCGCCUGGGGAGUACGACCGCAAGGUUGAAACUCAAAUGAAUUGGCGGGG
This 394-nucleotide ribosomal RNA is filed under the name uncultured bacterium. RNAcentral describes it as "partial 16S ribosomal RNA". It matches the Rfam family "Bacterial small subunit ribosomal RNA", at positions 523 to 918 of the family's 1533-position model. The record is from RNAcentral.